This 253-nucleotide ribosomal RNA is filed under the name uncultured bacterium. RNAcentral describes it as "partial 16S ribosomal RNA". It matches the Rfam family "Bacterial small subunit ribosomal RNA", at positions 524 to 776 of the family's 1533-position model. The record is from RNAcentral.
UACAGAGGUCUCAAGCGCUGUUCGGAUUCAUUGGGCGUAAAGGGUGCGUAGGCGGCGCGGUAAGUCGGGUGUGAAAUCUUGGAGCUUAACUCCGAAACUGCAUUCGAUACUGCCGUGCUUGAGGACUGGAGAGGAGACUGGAAUUUACGGUGUAGCGGUGAAAUGCGUAGAUAUCGUAAGGAAGACCAGUGGCGAAGGCGGGUCUCUGGACAGUUCCUGACGCUGAGGCACGAAGGCCAGGGGAGCAAACGGG